CCUACGGGGGACAGCAGUGGGGAAUAUUGCACAAUGGGGGAAACCCUGAUGCAGCGACGCCGCGUGAGUGAAGAAGUACUUCGUUAUGUAAAGCUCUAUCAGCAGGGAAGAAAAUUACGGUACCUGAGUAAGAAGACCCGGCUAACUACGUGCCAGCCGCCGCGGUAAUACGUCGGGGGCAGGCGUUAUCCGGAUUUACUGGGUGUACGGGGAGCGUAGAGGGCGGUGCAAGUCUGUCGUGAAAGGCGGGGGCUCAACCCCCGGACUGCUAUGGAAACUGGCCGGCUGGAGUGCAGGAGAGGUAGGUGCACUUCCUAGUGUAGCGGUGAAAUGCGUAGAUAUUAGGAGGAACACCAGUGGCGCGGGCGGCUUACUGGACUGUACCUGACGUUGAUGCUCGAAAGCGUGGGGAGCAAACAGGAUUAGAUACCCCUGUAGUC
This 440-nucleotide ribosomal RNA is filed under the name uncultured bacterium. RNAcentral's name for it is "partial 16S ribosomal RNA". It matches the Rfam family "Bacterial small subunit ribosomal RNA", at positions 338 to 795 of the family's 1533-position model. The record is from RNAcentral.